This 656-nucleotide ribosomal RNA is filed under the name Cronobacter sp. Its description in RNAcentral is "bacterial SSU rRNA". It matches the Rfam family "Bacterial small subunit ribosomal RNA", at positions 57 to 702 of the family's 1533-position model. The record is from RNAcentral. Lineage: Bacteria; Pseudomonadati; Pseudomonadota; Gammaproteobacteria; Enterobacterales; Enterobacteriaceae.
GCAAGUCGAACGGUAACAGAGAGCAGCUUGCUGCUCUGCUGACGAGUGGCGGACGGGUGAGUAAUGUCUGGGAAACUGCCUGAUGGAGGGGGAUAACUACUGGAAACGGUAGCUAAUACCGCAUAACGUCUUCGGACCAAAGUGGGGGACCUUCGGGCCUCAUGCCAUCAGAUGUGCCCAGAUGGGAUUAGCUAGUAGGUGGGGUAAAGGCUCACCUAGGCGACGAUCCCUAGCUGGUCUGAGAGGAUGACCAGCCACACUGGAACUGAGACACGGUCCAGACUCCUACGGGAGGCAGCAGUGGGGAAUAUUGCACAAUGGGCGCAAGCCUGAUGCAGCCAUGCCGCGUGUAUGAAGAAGGCCUUCGGGUUGUAAAGUACUUUCAGCGAGGAGGAAGGGAUUGUGGUUAAUAACCGCAGUCAUUGACGUUACUCGCAGAAGAAGCACCGGCUAACUCCGUGCCAGCAGCCGCGGUAAUACGGAGGGUGCAAGCGUUAAUCGGAAUUACUGGGCGUAAAGCGCACGCAGGCGGUUUGUUAAGUCAGAUGUGAAAUCCCCGGGCUCAACCUGGGAACUGCAUUUGAAACUGGCAAGCUUGAGUCUCGUAGAGGGGGGUAGAAUUCCAGGUGUAGCGGUGAAAUGCGUAGAGAUCUGGA